Molecule: ribosomal RNA, 577 nt
Filed under: uncultured bacterium
Lineage: Bacteria
Description: bacterial SSU rRNA
Rfam family: Bacterial small subunit ribosomal RNA
Source: RNAcentral
CCUACGGGAGGCAGCAGUUGGGAAUCUUGGACAAUGGGGGAAACCCUGAUCCAGCCAUGCCGCGUGAGUGAUGAAGGCCUUCGGGUUGUAAAACUCUUUCGACGGGGACGAUAAUGACGGUACCCGUAGAAGAAGCUCCGGCUAACUUCGUGCCAGCAGCCGCGGUAAUACGAAGGGGGCUAGCGUUGUUCGGAAUUACUGGGCGUAAAGCGCGCGCAGGCGGCUAUCCAAGUCAGUGGUGAAAGCCCGGAGCUCAACUCCGGAACUGCCAUUGAAACUGUUUAGCUUGAGGACGAGAGAGGUGAGUGGAAUUCCCAGUGUAGAGGUGAAAUUCGUAGAUAUUGGGAAGAACACCGGUGGCGAAGGCGGCUCACUGGCUCGUAUCUGACGCUCAGGCGCGACAGCGUGGGGAUCAAACAGGAUUAGAUACCCUGGUAGUCCACGCCGUAAACGAUGAAUGCUAGCCGUUGGGUAGCUUGCUAUCAGUGCGCNGCUACGCAUAGCAUCGCCGUGGAGUACGGCGCGAGUAGAACGUAAAGUAAGUAGNGCGNGAGAGNGCGAGCGACGACGAGGAGAG